This 497-nucleotide ribosomal RNA is filed under the name uncultured bacterium. RNAcentral's name for it is "partial 16S ribosomal RNA". It matches the Rfam family "Bacterial small subunit ribosomal RNA", at positions 28 to 507 of the family's 1533-position model. The record is from RNAcentral.
GACGAACGCUGGCGGCGUGCCUAAUACAUGCAAGUAGAACGCUGAAGAGAGGAGCUUACUCUUCUUGGAUGAGUUGCGAACGGGUGAGUAACGCGUAGGUAACCUGCCUUGUAGCGGGGGAUAACUAUUGGAAACGAUAGCUAAUACCGCAUAUCAAUGGAUGACACAUGUCAUUUAUUUGAAAGGGGCAAUUGCUCCACUACAAGAUGGACCUGCGUUGUAUUAGCUAGUAGGUGAGGUAAUGGCUCACCUAGGCGACGAUACAUAGCCGACCUGAGAGGGUGAUCGGCCACACUGGGACUGAGACACGGCCCAGACUCCUACGGGAGGCAGCAGUAGGGAAUCUUCGGCAAUGGGGGCAACCCUGACCGAGCAACGCCGCGUGAGUGAAGAAGGUUUUCGGAUCGUAAAGCUCUGUUGUAAGUCAAGAACGGGUGUGAGAGUGGAAAGUUCACACUGUGACGGUAGCUUACCAGAAAGGGACGGCUAACUACGUG